UAGUGGCGAACGGGUGAGUAACACGUGGGCAAUCUGCCCUUCACUCUGGGACAAGCCCUGGAAACGGGGUCUAAUACCGGAUAAUACCUGCCUGGGCAUCUGGGUGGGUUGAAAGCUCCGGCGGUGAAGGAUGAGCCCGCGGCCUAUCAGCUUGUUGGUGAGGUAGUGGCUCACCAAGGCGACGACGGGUAGCCGGCCUGAGAGGGCGACCGGCCACACUGGGACUGAGACACGGCCCAGACUCCUACGGGAGGCAGCAGUGGGGAAUAUUGCACAAUGGGCGAAAGCCUGAUGCAGCGACGCCGCGUGAGGGAUGACGGCCUUCGGGUUGUAAACCUCUUUCAGCAGGGAAGAAGCGAGAGUGACGGUACCUGCAGAAGAAGCGCCGGCUAACUACGUGCCAGCAGCCGCGGUAAUACGUAGGGCGCAAGCGUUGUCCGGAAUUAUUGGGCGUAAAGAGCUCGUAGGCGGCUUGUCACGUCGGGUGUGAAAGCCCGGGGCUUAACCCCGGGUCUGCAUUCGAUACGGGCUAGCUAGAGUGUGGUA
This 546-nucleotide ribosomal RNA is filed under the name Streptomyces sp. 303E03. RNAcentral's name for it is "bacterial SSU rRNA". It matches the Rfam family "Bacterial small subunit ribosomal RNA", at positions 93 to 653 of the family's 1533-position model. Lineage: Bacteria; Bacillati; Actinomycetota; Actinomycetes; Kitasatosporales; Streptomycetaceae. The record is from RNAcentral.